RNAcentral lists this ribosomal RNA (492 nucleotides) under uncultured bacterium. Its description in RNAcentral is "partial 16S ribosomal RNA". It matches the Rfam family "Bacterial small subunit ribosomal RNA", at positions 29 to 507 of the family's 1533-position model. The record is from RNAcentral.
AGUGAACGCUGGCGGUAGGCCUAACACAUGCAAGUCGAACGGCAGCACAGUAAGAGCUUGCUCUUACGGGUGGCGAGUGGCGGACGGGUGAGGAAUACAUCGGAAUCUACUUUUUCGUGGGGGAUAACGUAGGGAAACUUACGCUAAUACCGCAUACGACCUACGGGUGAAAGCAGGGGAUCUUCGGACCUUGCGCGAUUGAAUGAGCCGAUGUCGGAUUAGCUAGUUGGCGGGGUAAAGGCCCACCAAGGCGACGAUCCGUAGCUGGUCUGAGAGGAUGAUCAGCCACACUGGAACUGAGACACGGUCCAGAAUCCUACGGGAGGCAGCAGUGGGGAAUAUUGGACAAAGGGCGCAAGCCUGAUCCAGCCAUACCGCGUGGGUGAAGAAGGCCUUCGGGUUGUAAAGCCCUUUUGUUGGGAAAGAAAAGCAGCAGGUUAAUACCCCGCUGUUCUGACGGUACCCAAAGAAUAAGCACCGGCUAACUUCGUG